Non-coding RNA from Thamnophis sirtalis, 273 nucleotides. NCBI's taxonomy places the organism in Eukaryota, Metazoa, Chordata, Lepidosauria, Squamata, Natricidae. The record is from RefSeq and is a predicted model, not a curated record.
AGAAGUACACCUCUUAUAAGUUCUUAUAAGAACUCUGGAUCCAAAACAGAGAAAUCAUCUUCAGGCCUCAGAGACUACUGGAUGGCUACUGCAGACAUAAAAAUGGGAGAAAUCAUACUUUUUUUUUUGAGAAAAAUCUUUAAACAGAGGCUCAGACUAAUAGCUUCAAAGUUCCUGUCCAUCUGCAUAGAACUACUACAGUUGGAUUACCCAUACAUCAUUUUUCUAGGACACAGAAAAAAGCCAAAAUCCUUUCCAGUCAAUUAAAAAUAA